GUUUCAUUUACCUUCGUUGUAAGUUCCUCUCUAUCGCAUCUAGUGACUAAAGAAGAGAUGAUGACUUCAGUAUCAUUGCAAUCCUUUUUAAAAUUCUCUGCUAACUCGAUAAUUUUCUUUGCAAUUUCUUUAGGACUUGAAUAGCGUAUGUCGUUUGUGCCUGCAUGGAUAAUGAGCUUAUCGGGUUGCUUUCGUGCAGUGGGCUUUAAGAAAUCAGACAUAUCGUUAACUGUUGCACCUGAGAAAGACUUAACUAUUACGUUUCUGUCAGUGUUGGAUACUUCCCAACCUUUUACAUAUUUUAUAAUCGAAUCUCCAGCUAUAACGACAGUUUCUUUAGUGCGUUGUCUUUCUGCUGUUAUUUCCUCACUUGCCUUAUGCGCUUCUCUCGUUUGCUCGUUUUCCUUUGCCUUUUGUUCGUUAUUCUUCACCUUUUGUUUCUUAUUCUUAUUCUUCUUUUGUUCCUGGUUAAUCUGCUGUGACCUCUGCUUGUUGGCUUUCGAUUGAGCAGCUUUGUCAUCAGAUUCGCUCAUUUGAUUCUUACCAAAGCCCUUUUGUUGAAGGCUUAAUUUCUCUUUUGUUUUUGUCGUGUUAGGAAUUUCAGCAAAACAGCCAUGUUUUGGAUCUUUGCGUCGUUAAUUACAAA
Molecule: non-coding RNA, 646 nt
Organism: Paramuricea clavata
Lineage: Eukaryota; Metazoa; Cnidaria; Anthozoa; Malacalcyonacea; Plexauridae
Source: the annotation of a GenBank genome assembly